This is a non-coding RNA of Otolemur garnettii (small-eared galago), 496 nucleotides long. The record is from the annotation of a RefSeq genome assembly. Lineage: Eukaryota; Metazoa; Chordata; Mammalia; Primates; Galagidae.
AACCGCGUACAUCAUGGCCUGGGCCCCUCUCCUCCUGCUUCUGCUCUGCUACUUCUCAGGUUCCCUCUCCCAGCCUGUGCUGACUCAGCCGCCCUCCCUCUCUGCCUCUCCUGGAGCAUCAGCCAGAAUCACCUGCACCCUGAGCAGUGGCUUUGUUGUUAGCGGCUAUCACAUGUCCUGGUACCAGCAGAGGCCAGGGAGUCCUCCCCGGUAUCUCCUGAGAUUCAAGUCUGACUCAGAUAAGCACCAGGGCUCCGGGGUCCCCAGCCGCUUCUCUGGAUCCAAAGAUGCCUCAGCCAAUGCAGGGAUCCUGCACAUCUCUGGGCUGCAGGCCGACGAUGAGGCUGACUAUUACUGUUGCACAUAUCAUGGUAACACUAACACUUACACAGUGCUCCAGACACAGGGGGAAGUGAUACUAAAACCUCCCCUGUGUUCUCCCUGCCUGGCGCAGACACUGCUGUCCUGCCUGGGGCUGAAUCAAGCUAAGGAUUGA